GAUGAAGAACGUAGCGAAAUGCGAUAAGUAAUGUGAAUUGCAGAAUUCAGUGAAUCAUCGAAUCUUUGAACGCACAUUGCGCCCCCCAGUAUUCUGGCGGGCAUGCCUGUUCGAGCGUCAUUUCAACCAUCAAGCCCUGCUUGUGUUGGGGUCCUGCGGCUGCCCGCAGGCCCUGAAAACCAGUGGCGGGCUCGCUAGUCACACCGAGCGCAGUAGCACAUCUCGCUCAGGGCGUGCGGCGGGCUCCAGCCGUUAAAGCACCCACCUUCGCAAGGUUGACCUCGGAUCAGGUAGGAAUACCCGCUGAACUUAAGCAUAUCAAUAAGCGGAGGA
RNAcentral lists this unclassified non-coding RNA (333 nucleotides) under soil metagenome. RNAcentral describes it as "partial contains 5.8S ribosomal RNA, internal transcribed spacer 2, and large subunit ribosomal RNA". The stretch from base 1 to 120 matches the Rfam family "5.8S ribosomal RNA", at positions 35 to 154 of the family's 154-position model. The record is from RNAcentral.